AGUAAUGCAUAGGAAUCUGCCCGGUAGUGGGGGAUAACCUGGGGAAACUCAGGCUAAUACCGCAUACGCCCCACGGGGGAAAGCAGGGGAUCUUCGGACCUUGCGCUAUCGGAUGAGCCUAUGUCGGAUUAGCUUGUUGGUGAGGUAAUGGCUCACCAAGGCGACGAUCCGUAGCUGGUCUGAGAGGAUGAUCAGCCACAUCGGGACUGAGACACGGCCCGAACUCCUACGGGAGGCAGCAGUGGGGAAUAUUGGACAAUGGGCGAAAGCCUGAUCCAGCCAUGCCGCGUGUGUGAAGAAGGCUUUCGGGUUGUAAAGCACUUUCAGUGAGGAAGAAGGCCUUGGGGCUAAUACCCCCGAGGAAGGACAUCAC
This 373-nucleotide ribosomal RNA is filed under the name uncultured Halomonas sp. Its description in RNAcentral is "bacterial SSU rRNA". It matches the Rfam family "Bacterial small subunit ribosomal RNA", at positions 109 to 478 of the family's 1533-position model. Lineage: Bacteria; Pseudomonadati; Pseudomonadota; Gammaproteobacteria; Oceanospirillales; Halomonadaceae. The record is from RNAcentral.